Molecule: ribosomal RNA, 590 nt
Filed under: uncultured bacterium
Lineage: Bacteria
Description: bacterial SSU rRNA
Rfam family: Bacterial small subunit ribosomal RNA
Source: RNAcentral
GCUCCUUCGGGAGUGAGUACAGCGGCGGACGGGUGAGUAACGCGUGAGAAUUUACCCUUUAGUGAAGAAUACCUUCGAGAAAUCGGAGUUAAUACUGCAUACGUCCCUUCGGGGAGAAAGAUGGCCUCUUUGCUAUCGCUGAAGGAUAAGCUUGCGUACUAUUAGUUUGUUGGUGAGGUAAAGGCUCACCAAGACGAUGAUGGUUAACCGGCCUGAGAGGGUGUACGGUCACACUGGAACUUAGACACGGUCCAGACUCCUACGGGAGGCAGCAGUGAGGAAUAUUGCGCAAUGGGCGAAAGCCUGACGCAGCGACGCCGCGUGGAGGAUGAAGGUUUUUGGAUCGUAAACUCCUGUUAAGUGGGAAGAAAGACUUGGCUCUAAUACAGUCAAGUUAUGACGUUACCACUAGAGAAAGCACCGGCUAACUUCGUGCCAGCAGCCGCGGUAAUACGAGGGGUGCUAGCGUUAUUCGGAAUUACUGGGCGUAAAGGGUGCGUAGACGGCGCAUUAAGUCUGUUGUUAAAUCCUCCGGCCUAACCGGAGAUCAGCGAUAGAAACUAGUGUGCUAGAGGAUGGAAGAGAGAAGU